CGCGUAGGUGGUUGUAUAAGUCAGAUGUGAAAGUCCCCGGCUCAACCGUGGAAGUGCAUUUGAAACUGUAUGACUUGAGUACUGGAGGGGGUAGUGGAAUUCCCGGUGUAGAGGUGAAAUUCGUAGAUAUCGGGAGGAAUACCGGUGGCGAAGGCGACUACCUGGCCAGAUACUGACACUGAGGUGCGGAAGCGUGGGGAGCAAACA
RNAcentral lists this ribosomal RNA (207 nucleotides) under uncultured bacterium. RNAcentral's name for it is "partial 16S ribosomal RNA". It matches the Rfam family "Bacterial small subunit ribosomal RNA", at positions 568 to 774 of the family's 1533-position model. The record is from RNAcentral.